RNAcentral lists this transfer RNA (71 nucleotides) under bacterium TMED15. RNAcentral describes it as "tRNA-Gly". It matches the Rfam family "tRNA". From Rfam's summary of the family: Transfer RNA (tRNA) molecules are approximately 80 nucleotides in length. Their secondary structure includes four short double-helical elements and three loops (D, anti-codon, and T loops). The record is from RNAcentral. RNAcentral also lists the same sequence under 1 other name.
GCGGGUGUAGCUUAGUGGUAAAGCCCUGGCCUUCCAAGCCAGUCACGUGAGUUCGAUUCUCAUCACCCGCU